Molecule: non-coding RNA, 1190 nt
Organism: Cinara cedri
Lineage: Eukaryota; Metazoa; Arthropoda; Insecta; Hemiptera; Aphididae
Source: the annotation of a GenBank genome assembly
UAUUUUAUAUAACUGUUGUGGACCUUCAUUACAACUAUGUUGUUGACGUUUACUUUGUCGUGUCAAGCUUAUAGGAAUAUCACAUUUUUUACAAAUAGAUUCUAUAUUAGAAAAUAAUUUUUCAAAUUCUAUUACACCAUAGUUUUAUCGUAUACCUUGAAUGUUUUUUUUUUUUUUUGGAUAGUGUAUGCAGUUUCUAAUGCAGUUGCCAAGUCUAGAUAUUCUUUUUGAAGAAAUCUACUAAGGAGGAAAAUAACGGCCAAUAUUUUUAUUAUUAUAGAUAAGGUGGUUUGAAAAUCGAAUUGUUUUGUUGCAGUUAUAAGUUGAUUCGCUGCACUUAAGGAAACUGCAUAUAUCCAAUUUGGAAUAGAAUCCAAAGCAUACAAAAUAGCUAGCUGAAGUUCCUCAAACAAUAUUACUGUAUUGUGACGGCCAACCCAUCGAUUGGCACAUAAUGUUUUUAGCUUAAAACGUCUCGUUUCUGGAAAAUUAGUUUCUAUUGAUAUUUACAAAGUGUUUUGCCUUUUUGGAUAUCCGAAAAAAUUAAAUACAUUUUGUAUAGUACCUAUACAGUUUCUAAUCGAAGGAACUUUACAACGAAAAUGUACAUCCAAAUAUAAUCAAUGGGCAUAUAAUGCAAAUAUAACGCUUCUGGAUAUUUAUUGCGAAUAUAUUUUUGAACACCAUUAUACUAUUGCCACUCAUGGUUGCUGCGCCAUCAUAUCCUUAACUAAUAUUGCAAGUUAAGUCCCAAAUUAAUCAUAGAUUUUAGAAUUAUAUUAGAUAGACCAUUAUUUGGUAUAGCAUUGACUUCAGAUAGUUUUUUUUUUAUCUGAUACAGACUCAAAAUAAUUUAAAAUAUUGUUUUGGGAUUUUUUACUCAUUUUAUAACAAUCGUUCUAACAGCACGUAUCUCCAACUAGUGAGUACUGAGUAAUAACUAGUUAAAACUUAAGUCACAAUUCACAAUAACAAAAUAAUACUAAACACAUUAACUGUAAUAAAGAUAAGAUAUGCUAAUCGGCUGCAGCGAAACAUAAGGGGAAAACAAUUUAAAAAUAUCUUUUAACGUAAUCAUAUAGCAAUGUGUAGGUAUUAACAAUGUCACUGACAUAGGUAGAGCUAUCAUUAUAUAUACACUACACUGGACUGGACUUAUUUAUUAUUAAUUUUUAUUAUUUGUCUAAACU